GAUGAACGCUGGCGGCGUGCCUAAUACAUGCAAGUCGAGCGAACAGACGAGGAGCUUGCUCCUCUGACGUUAGCGGCGGACGGGUGAGUAACACGUGGAUAACCUACCUAUAAGACUUGGAUAACUUCGGGAAACCGGAGCUAAUACCGGAUAAUAUAUUGAACCGCAUGGUUCAAUAGUGAAAGACGGUUUUGCUGUCACUUAUAGAUGGAUCCGCGCCGCAUUAGCUAGUUGGUAAGGUAACGGCUUACCAAGGCGACGAUGCGUAGCCGACCUGAGAGGGUGAUCGGCCACACUGGAACUGAGACACGGUCCAGACUCCUACGGGAGGCAGCAGUAGGGAAUCUUCCGCAAUGGGCGAAAGCCUGACGGAGCAACGCCGCGUGAGUGAUGAAGGUCUUCGGAUCGUAAAACUCUGUUAUUAGGGAAGAACAAAUGUGUAAGUAACUAUGCACGUCUUGACGGUACCUAAUCAGAAAGCCACGGCUAACUACGUG
This 497-nucleotide ribosomal RNA is filed under the name uncultured bacterium. RNAcentral's name for it is "partial 16S ribosomal RNA". It matches the Rfam family "Bacterial small subunit ribosomal RNA", at positions 28 to 507 of the family's 1533-position model. The record is from RNAcentral.